RNAcentral lists this ribosomal RNA (459 nucleotides) under uncultured bacterium. RNAcentral describes it as "partial 16S ribosomal RNA". It matches the Rfam family "Bacterial small subunit ribosomal RNA", at positions 338 to 795 of the family's 1533-position model. The record is from RNAcentral.
CCUACGGGUGGCAGCAGUGAGGAAUAUUGGUCAAUGGGCGGAAGCCUGAACCAGCCAAGUCGCGUGAGGGAUGAAGGCCCUACGGGUUGUAAACUUCUUUUGUCAGGGGACAAUUCCCUCCACGUGUGGACUUCUCCAGGUACCCUGCGAAAAAGGGCCGGCUAACUCCGUGCCAGCAGCCGCGGUAAUACGGAGGGUCCGAGCGUUAUCCGGAUUUAUUGGGCUUAAAGGGUGCGUAGGCGGGAUUUCAAGUCAGCGGUAAAAAUUCGGGGCUCAACCCCGGCGCGCCGUUGAAACUGGAGGUCUUGAGUGGGCGAGAGGCAGGCGGAAUGCGUGGUGUAGCGGUGAAAUGCAUAGAUAUCACGCAGAACGCCGAUUGCGAAGGCAGCAUACCGGCGCCCAACUGACGCUGAGGCACGAAAGCGUGGGUAUCGAACAGGAUUAGAUACCCGAGUAGUC